This 740-nucleotide ribosomal RNA is filed under the name uncultured bacterium. RNAcentral describes it as "bacterial SSU rRNA". It matches the Rfam family "Bacterial small subunit ribosomal RNA", at positions 46 to 778 of the family's 1533-position model. The record is from RNAcentral.
GCUUACCAUGCAGUCGAGCGGUAGCACAGGGGAGCUUGCUCCCUGGGUGACGAGCGGCGGACGGGUGAGUAAUGUCUGGGAAACUGCCUGAUGGAGGGGGAUAACUACUGGAAACGGUAGCUAAUACCGCAUAACGUCGCAAGACCAAAGAGGGGGACCUUCGGGCCUCUUGCCAUCAGAUGUGCCCAGAUGGGAUUAGCUAGUAGGUGGGGUAAUGGCUCACCUAGGCGACGAUCCCUAGCUGGUCUGAGAGGAUGACCAGCCACACUGGAACUGAGACACGGUCCAGACUCCUACGGGAGGCAGCAGUGGGGAAUAUUGCACAAUGGGCGCAAGCCUGAUGCAGCCAUGCCGCGUGUGUGAAGAAGGCCUUCGGGUUGUAAAGCACUUUCAGCGAGGAGGAAGGUGGUGAACUUAAUACGUUCAUCAAUUGACGUUACUCGCAGAAGAAGCACCGGCUAACUCCGUGCCAGCAGCCGCGGUAAUACGGAGGGUGCAAGCGUUAAUCGGAAUUACUGGGCGUAAAGCGCACGCAGGCGGUUUGUUAAGUCAGAUGUGAAAUCCCCGGGCUCAACCUGGGAACUGCAUUUGAAACUGGCAAGCUAGAGUCUCGUAGAGGGGGGUAGAAUUCCAGGUGUAGCGGUGAAAUGCGUAGAGAUCUGGAGGAAUACCGGUGGCAAAGGCGGCCCCCUGGACGAAGACUGACGCUCAGGUGCGAAAGCGUGGGGAGCAAACAGGAU